RNAcentral lists this long non-coding RNA (258 nucleotides) under Prunus dulcis (almond). RNAcentral's name for it is "sRNA ncRNA". Lineage: Eukaryota; Viridiplantae; Streptophyta; Magnoliopsida; Rosales; Rosaceae. The record is from RNAcentral.
AUGAGUUUCUCUUUUCCUUUUAUUCUAUUAUUCCUUUUGUUCUUUCACAAGAUAGCUAGUUUCAUCAAGCAUGCUCUGCUUUCGUCAAUAACUUCAUUGAAGCUAAUGGCAAAGCUGAUGCAAUACCAUUCCUUGUUGAGACCUUCUAAGAUUUCAAAGCAACUUACAAAUUUUAUACAGCUCAGAGAAUUACGGAAACUAGCAACAUCAUGGAAAGGGCACCAGACGAGUUUGAUGACAUCUUUUCAUUUUGGAUGA